GUUGAACGCUGGCGGCAUGCCUUACACAUGCAAGUCGAACGGCAGCACGGGUGCUUGCACCUGGUGGCGAGUGGCGAACGGGUGAGUAAUACAUCGGAACAUGUCCUGUAGUGGGGGAUAGCCCGGCGAAAGCCGGAUUAAUACCGCAUACGAUCUACGGAUGAAAGCGGGGGACCUUCGGGCCUCGCGCUAUAGGGUUGGCCGAUGGCUGAUUAGCUAGUUGGUGGGGUAAAGGCCUACCAAGGCGACGAUCAGUAGCUGGUCUGAGAGGACGACCAGCCACACUGGGACUGAGACACGGCCCAGACUCCUACGGGAGGCAGCAGUGGGGAAUUUUGGACAAUGGGCGAAAGCCUGAUCCAGCAAUGCCGCGUGCGUGAAGAAGGCCUUCGGGUUGUAAAGCACUUUUGUCCGGAAAGAAAUCCUUGGCCCUAAUACGGUCGGGGGAUGACGGUACCGGAAGAAUAAGCACCGGCUAACUACGUG
This 486-nucleotide ribosomal RNA is filed under the name uncultured bacterium. RNAcentral's name for it is "partial 16S ribosomal RNA". It matches the Rfam family "Bacterial small subunit ribosomal RNA", at positions 28 to 507 of the family's 1533-position model. The record is from RNAcentral.